RNAcentral lists this small RNA (340 nucleotides) under Drosophila erecta. RNAcentral describes it as "GG26423". Lineage: Eukaryota; Metazoa; Arthropoda; Insecta; Diptera; Drosophilidae. The record is from RNAcentral.
CAAGUUUGGAAAGAGGAAGAAAAACCGGAAAAAACUGGAAUGAAGCCAGUCUGGAGUAGUCUUUAGUGUAUAAAUCAUAUCAAUCGAAGUCUUCCUCCGCUCGGAAUUCGACAUGACCAGGCCGGCAAUCCGCAGUUUGUGAUACGAACGGGGCGCAGAAUAAGCUGCAGACGGCGGAGAUCAUUACAUUGACAUAUUCAUGCGGAAUCGGAGUCGGAAUCGGGGAAUUCCAGGGAAUGCACAAACAAUGGAGCACGCGACCAUGUGGAGCGGAGCCAUGAGGAGCGCGUCCCACGCGACUGCCGGGAAUCAACCUGCAACCUGCAACCUGCAACCGGCA